RNAcentral lists this long non-coding RNA (393 nucleotides) under Fukomys damarensis (Damara mole-rat). RNAcentral describes it as "lncRNA (ENSFDAG00000023480.1)". The record is from RNAcentral. Lineage: Eukaryota; Metazoa; Chordata; Mammalia; Rodentia; Bathyergidae.
UCUAUUCAGUAAAUUAAUAUGUAUUUAUGACGUAUUUGUUUUGCAUUUCAGAAUACCAGCUAAAUUGCAGUCUGUGUCUCAUAGCUGAACAGACUGCCUGAAGUUACAUUUAGAGACUGAAAUCACUGCACCUUAAAAAAAAGAUUGAGCUACACUGUGUUCCUAAUGUUUCACUACCACUGACUUGAUAUUCCUCACAUUGCUGGCUGCAGGAGUUUUUUGUGGAAAAGCAGGAAAAGAGAAGUGGAGGAGGAAGGCAUCCUACCAUAUCCUGUAAUAAACCCAUCAAGUGUCACUACUCUCCGCGAGACUCUGGAAAGAAGCUGCCACAGGACACAUCUGAACCUUGCAGUGGCUGGCAAUUUUCCUCUACGUUCUGAGAAAAAGAAUUAG